GAAUUACUGAACGAUUCCUAUUGAAACCUUAAUAAAUAGAAUUAGUUCCCUUAAAAAAAGUUUUGUAUAUUUGUAAAUUAUUGACAAUAUUAUCUAAGUACUGUAAAACUGCAGAACAGUCAGUCAAAAUUAACAUAAAAAAAUAUUUAUAAAAAUUUUAAUUCGUUUUUUCGUGAGUAACGGGUAUCUGAUAAUCGACUAUAACAUUCUCUCUGUUGUAUUAGUGGUUCGGAUAAUGAAAUUGUCUUAUUUCUCAGACCCAUCCUUAAAGGAAUCACACAAGACGCCACAAUUGAUUUAGGGCAUCAUUGUGGACAUUAUUUACAAAAAAAGAACACAAAAUUUAUGUACUACAAUUGUAUUACAUUAAUUUAUACUUUUUUAGUCAUAAAGCCAACAUCCGGGACGACAAAAAGUACUUUAAGUAUUAAGUGACUUAAUUGUGGACUCCCACUAAUCAAAAAUAUAUGUUAAAAAUCAACCAAGAUAAGGAAAGGAUAAAUCAUAAGAAUUCCUUCGUUUAAUACGACCUUCCGAAAAAUAAUUGUGAAGUUCCCCAACAUGUAAUUUGGAGCACACCUAGCCCUUCCAACCUUGGAUUGGCACAGAUGAAUUUGUAGACAUUUGCAGUCUUAUGCUGAAGACAAUGUCGUGGUGUAAUAUUUAGUAGAAACGCUAUCGUGCCUCUAUUUUACCCAUGGCUGCAAUCUUUAACAAAUAAGAAGUAUACAUAUACGCCAACGAUAUUUAAAGAAUAUAAAACCAUUUUUAUGAUCGACAUUUUACAUUUAAUUUAAGAACAUCUAACUUUAGUUGUAACGCUUCCGGUGUUGUAUGCAUAACUUCUUACAUUUGGUCAUUCUAAUCAUCGAAGCUAGAAGAUAGCAAAAAAUUAGCUGCUUGUUCCUCGUUCUUUU
This is a long non-coding RNA of Drosophila sechellia, 917 nucleotides long. RefSeq lists it as uncharacterized. The record is from RefSeq and is a predicted model, not a curated record. The transcript has 2 exons. Lineage: Eukaryota; Metazoa; Arthropoda; Insecta; Diptera; Drosophilidae.